UACGUAGGGUGCAAGCGUUAAUCGGAAUUACUGGGCGUAAAGCGUGCGCAGGCGGUUAUGCAAGACAGGUGUGAAAUCCCCGAGCUCAACUUGGGAACUGCACUUGUGACUGCAUAGCUAGAGUACGGCAGAGGGGGAUGGAAUUCCGCGUGUAGCAGUGAAAUGCGUAGAUAUGCGGAGGAACACCAAUGGCGAAGGCAGUCCCCUGGGCCUGUACUGACGCUCAUGCACGAAAGCGUGGGGAGCAAACAGG
This 253-nucleotide ribosomal RNA is filed under the name uncultured bacterium. RNAcentral describes it as "partial 16S ribosomal RNA". It matches the Rfam family "Bacterial small subunit ribosomal RNA", at positions 524 to 776 of the family's 1533-position model. The record is from RNAcentral.